RNAcentral lists this ribosomal RNA (273 nucleotides) under uncultured Staphylococcus sp. Its description in RNAcentral is "partial 16S ribosomal RNA". It matches the Rfam family "Bacterial small subunit ribosomal RNA", at positions 89 to 355 of the family's 1533-position model. Lineage: Bacteria; Bacillati; Bacillota; Bacilli; Caryophanales; Staphylococcaceae. The record is from RNAcentral.
ACGUUAGCGGCGGACGGGUGAGUAACACGUGGGUAACCUACCUAUAAGACUGGGAUAACUUCGGGAAACCGGAGCUAAUACCGGAUAAUAUUUCGAACCGCAUGGUUCGAUAGUGAAAGGUGGUUUUGCUAUCACUUAUAGAUGGACCCGCGCCGUAUUAGCUAGUUGGUAAGGUAACGGCUUACCAAGUCGACGAUACGUAGCCGACCUGAGAGGGUGAUCGGCCACACUGGAACUGAUACACGGUCCAGACUCCUACGGGAGGCAGCAGCU